RNAcentral lists this ribosomal RNA (497 nucleotides) under uncultured bacterium. Its description in RNAcentral is "partial 16S ribosomal RNA". It matches the Rfam family "Bacterial small subunit ribosomal RNA", at positions 28 to 507 of the family's 1533-position model. The record is from RNAcentral.
GACGAACGCUGGCGGCGUGCCUAAUACAUGCAAGUUGAGCGCUGAAGGUUGGUACUUGUACCAACUGGAUGAGCAGCGCACGGGUGAGUAACGCGUGGGGAAUCUGCCUUUGAGCGGGGGACAACAUUUGGAAACGAAUGCUAAUACCGCAUAAAAACUUUAAACACAAGUUUUAAGUUUGAAAGAUGCAAUUGCAUCACUCAAAGAUGAUCCCGCGUUGUAUUAGCUAGUUGGUGAGGUAAAGGCUCACCAAGGCGAUGAUACAUAGCCGACCUGAGAGGGGGGUCGGCCACAUUGGGACGGAGACACGGCCCAAACUCCUACGGGAGGCAGCAGUAGGGAAUCUUCGGCAAUGGACGAAAGUCUGAACGAGCAACGCCGCGUGAGUGAAGAAGGUUUUCGGAUCGUAAAACUCUGUUGGUAGAGAAGAACGUUGGUGAGAGUGGAAAGCUCAUCAAGUGACGGUAACUACCCAGAAAGGGACGGCUAACUACGUG